RNAcentral lists this ribosomal RNA (420 nucleotides) under bacterium. Its description in RNAcentral is "partial 16S ribosomal RNA". It matches the Rfam family "Bacterial small subunit ribosomal RNA", at positions 355 to 776 of the family's 1533-position model. The record is from RNAcentral.
UGGGGGAUAUUGCACAAUGGGCGAAAGCCUGAUGCAGCGACGCCGCGUGGGGGAUGAAGGCUUUCGGGUUGUAAACCUCUUUCGCUAUCGAACAAGGCCCGCUUAGGGUGGGUUGAGGGUAGGUGGAGAAGAAGCGCCGGCUAACUACGUGCCAGCAGCCGCGGUAAUACGUAGGGCGCGAGCGUUGUCCGGAAUUAUUGGGCGUAAAGGGCUUGUAGGCGGCUUGUUGCGCCUGCUGUGAAAACGCGGGGCUUAACUUCGCGCGUGCAGUGGGUACGGGCAGGCUUGAGUGUGGUAGGGGUGACUGGAAUUCCAGGUGUAGCGGUGGAAUGCGCAGAUAUCUGGAGGAACACCGAUGGCGCAGGCUGGUCACUGGGCCAUUACUGACGCUGAGGAGCGAAAGCAUGGGUAGCGAACAGG